UGAAGCUGGAAUUGCUAGUAAUGGCAGGUCAGCAUACUGCCGUGAAUACGUUCCCGGGCCCUUGUACACACCGCCCGUCACACCAUGAGAGUUGGAAAUACCCGAAGCCUGUGAGCUAACAGUAAUGAGGCAGCAGUCGAAGGUUAGAGCCAAUGAUUGGGGUGAAGUCGUAACAAGGUACC
This 182-nucleotide ribosomal RNA is filed under the name uncultured bacterium. RNAcentral's name for it is "partial 16S ribosomal RNA". It matches the Rfam family "Bacterial small subunit ribosomal RNA", at positions 1321 to 1500 of the family's 1533-position model. The record is from RNAcentral.